RNAcentral lists this microRNA precursor (106 nucleotides) under Olea europaea subsp. europaea. Lineage: Eukaryota; Viridiplantae; Streptophyta; Magnoliopsida; Lamiales; Oleaceae. The record is from RNAcentral.
GGAAGUUGUUGAAAAAUUGUCGCAAAAGUCGUACAAAAAAUCUGAAAAUCUGGACAGAUUUUCAGAUUUUUUGGACGAUUUUUGCGGCAAUUUUUCGGUCGAAUCC